GACGACGCUGGCGGCGUGCCUAAACACAUGCAAGGUCGAACGGAGAAUUUGUAGCAAUAUGAAUUCUUAGUGGCGAACGGGUGAGUAACGCGUGAGCAACCUGCCCUUCAGAGGGGGACAACAGCUGGAAACGGCUGCUAAUACCGCAUAACGUAUAUUUGCGGCAUCGCAGAUAUACCAAAGAUUUAUCGCUGAAGGAUGGGCUCGCGUCUGAUUAGAUAGUUGGUGAGGUAACGGCUCACCAAGUCAACGAUCAGUAGCCGGACUGAGAGGUUGAACGGCCACAUUGGGACUGAGAUACGGCCCAGACUCCUACGGGAGGCAGCAGUGGGGAAUAUUGGGCAAUGGGGGCAACCCUGACCCAGCAACGCCGCGUGAAGGAAGAAGGCUUCGGGUUGUAAACUUCUUUGACGAGGGACGAAGAAAUGACGGUACCUCGAAAACAAGCCACGGCUAACUACGUG
RNAcentral lists this ribosomal RNA (464 nucleotides) under uncultured bacterium. RNAcentral describes it as "bacterial SSU rRNA". It matches the Rfam family "Bacterial small subunit ribosomal RNA", at positions 33 to 507 of the family's 1533-position model. The record is from RNAcentral.